UAAAUAACUUUUUUGUCUAUCACAGCUUUAACCUCGUGUGACCCCGCAGCCUCAUGCGAGGCUAUUUUGGAUUCGCUAUACACAACGCAUAAUUUAAAUUAAUUUAAACCCAUUCCAUACUGUUCAAGAACUCUGAGUCAUUUAAGAGUUAACAUUCUGACACACAGAGUCACGUGACCAAACACCAUGGCGUUGAUUUCCGUGAACUGCUUCUAUGGGCGCAGUGCCAACAAAUGUACCUCUGAGGAACAAAAUUAACCAAGACAUAUAAAUGAGUUUGUGCAUUGUCUGGGGUGAAUACCUCUUCAGCUGACCCACCAGGAUCAGGUUAGGGGCAGUGCCAGUGAGAGUUGCUGUUCCUCCGAUGCUUGCAGCGUAAGUAUCUGUUUUUCAGAAGGCAGUACGUGCAUCUUCACCUGAGAAUCACCUGCAGGGAAUCUUGACUGACAACAAAAGUGCUGUUUUGGAAAAAGUUAUAGUUCAAAGUUCUCUGUUCAGUUCUCUUUUAGAGUCUCCAGAUUUCCAAACAGACUUUCCAGUAUGGCAUUAGCAAUGGGAAGCAUCAUGGCUGUUGUGGCUGUAUUACUCAACCACAUUGACAGGAAAGAGGAAGUGACCAUCAUCCCUAAAAUCAGCCUGAAGAAGAAACAACGACGAGAGUUACAACCACCAAAACUAGGAAACCAUUUAACCAUUGUUAAAUAUGUAAACACUGAUUACUGAUUACAAAUUACAUGACUAAAAUUGUAGUCAGUAACAUACUCUCUUGGAUUACAUUUUAAAGUAAUUUAAUCUGAUUGUUUUUGGAUUACUUGUGACCUAAUUCUUGUUUAUUUGAUUUCACAUGCAUCUGAGUAGGAUAAGCUUGACAAUGUAAAAACUGUUCUAAAUGGAUCAAAAUAUGAGAAUUUAUAUUAUUUUAGUUUGUGUGUUUUACCUGCUAUUUGCCUGUUUACGAGCAAAUUUAAAUUAAAAUGUUACUCUGGCAAUUUCGGCAUUACCAAUGUCAUCCAUGUGUGGUAACAGAUCAGACCAGUUAUAUUUGUGAAUCAACGUUAAAAAAAAGUCUCGAAAGUUGUCGCAAAAGCAAAAGGGUGUCUAUGUACGUUUUUGAAACCGAGUACCAAAGCAAUUUGCAAAACUAAAACUAACUUCACAGUACUAAUGCAGCUGGUUUGGCAUUUAUGUGUGGAUUACAGCUCCACCUUCAGUGUAAUUAUGACCGGUGACUAGAAUCAGGUCCCCACCCCCCCCCACCUCCCAUUUGAAAACCAAAUUUACCAAAUGUUAAUCAACUGUAGACUGAUUUAGAAUGACAUUUUUUUAAUAUUU
Molecule: long non-coding RNA, 1332 nt
Organism: Myxocyprinus asiaticus (Chinese sucker)
Lineage: Eukaryota; Metazoa; Chordata; Actinopteri; Cypriniformes; Catostomidae
Exons: 5
Source: RefSeq, a predicted model, not a curated record